This 253-nucleotide ribosomal RNA is filed under the name uncultured bacterium. Its description in RNAcentral is "partial 16S ribosomal RNA". It matches the Rfam family "Bacterial small subunit ribosomal RNA", at positions 524 to 776 of the family's 1533-position model. The record is from RNAcentral.
GACGUAGGGCGCAAGCGUUGUCCGGAAUUAUUGGGCGUAAAGAGCUCGUAGGCGGCUUGUCACGUCGGGUGUGAAAGCCCGGGGCUUAACCCCGGGUCUGCAUUCGAUACGGGCUAGCUAGAGUGUGGUAGGGGAGAUCGGAAUUCCUGGUGUAGCGGUGAAAUGCGCAGAUAUCGAGAGGAACACCUGCGGCGAAGGCGGGUUGCUGGGCUGAUACUGACGCUGAGGCGCGAAAGCGUGGGGAGCGAACAGG